Non-coding RNA from Dipodomys ordii (Ord's kangaroo rat), 62 nucleotides. NCBI's taxonomy places the organism in Eukaryota, Metazoa, Chordata, Mammalia, Rodentia, Heteromyidae. The record is from Rfam.
GGGAAGGUGGCUCAGUGGUAGAGUGCUUGCCUUGCAUGCAUGAAGCCCUGGAUUCCAUUCCU